Molecule: ribosomal RNA, 485 nt
Filed under: uncultured Eubacteriales bacterium
Lineage: Bacteria; Bacillati; Bacillota; Clostridia; Eubacteriales
Description: uncultured Clostridiales bacterium partial 16S ribosomal RNA
Source: RNAcentral
CACGUAGUUAGCCGGGGGCUUCCUUGGGAGGUACCGUCGCUACCUUCUUCCCUCCCGACAGGGCUUUACGGCCCAAAGGCCUUCUUCGCCCACGCGGCGUCGCUGCAUCAGGCUUUCGCCCAUUGUGCAAGAUUCCCCACUGCUGCCUCCCGUAGGAGUUUGGACCGUGUCUCAGUUCCAAUGUGGCCGUCCACCCUCUCAGGUCGGCUACCGAUCGUCGCCUUGGUGGGCCGUCACCCCGCCAACUAACUAAUCGGACGCAGGCCCAUCCCUCGCCGUUCCCUUUGGCCCCUCGAGCAUGCGCUCCAAAGGCUUCAUGGGGUACUUAAUCCCGGUUUCCCGAGGCUGUUCCCCCAGCGUACGGGGCAGGGUUGCCGUACGCGUUACUCACCCGUCCGCCGCUUUCCGCCACUCGUCUUCCGCCGAAACUUCCGUCGGUGCUUCUGCUCGACUUGCAUGUGUAGGCGCGCCGCCAGCGUCAUUCC